CCGCACUGCCGAGUGUCCCCUGGUCCUUCUCAUGGCCUUGGGGGCAUUUUUUUAUUCAGUGCCAGAGUGACCCCCUUCCUGCAGAAUGGCCGGGAUCUGCUGUGACCCGAUCAUUCCGAAGGUUGGGAACAAAA
Molecule: small nucleolar RNA, 134 nt
Organism: Hyla sarda
Lineage: Eukaryota; Metazoa; Chordata; Amphibia; Anura; Hylidae
Source: RefSeq, a predicted model, not a curated record